RNAcentral lists this unclassified non-coding RNA (354 nucleotides) under soil metagenome. RNAcentral's name for it is "partial contains 5.8S ribosomal RNA, internal transcribed spacer 2, and large subunit ribosomal RNA". The stretch from base 1 to 120 matches the Rfam family "5.8S ribosomal RNA", at positions 35 to 154 of the family's 154-position model. The record is from RNAcentral.
GAUGAAGAACGCAGCGAAAUGCGAUAAGUAAUGUGAAUUGCAGAAUUCCGUGAAUCAUCGAAUCUUUGAACGCACAUUGCGCCCCCUGACAUUCCGGGGGGCAUGCCUGUCCGAGCGUCAUUUCUGCCCUCCAGCCCGGCUGGGUGUUGGGCGCUGUCCCCCCGGGGACACGCCCCAAAGGCAGUGGCGGCGCCGCGUCGGGUCCUCGAGCGUAUGGGGCUUUGUCACCCGCUCGGGACGGACUCGUCGGCGCUGGUCUUCCUCCAGGCGACCCUUCGGGGCUCGUCUUCCUUCGGUUGACCUCGGAUCAGGUAGGGUUACCCGCUGAACUUAAGCAUAUCAAUAAGCGGAGGA